UGAGACAGGUGCUGCAUGGCUGUCGUCAGCUCGUGUUGUGAAAUGUUGGGUUAAGUCCCGCAACGAGCGCAACCCUUAUCCUUUGUUGCCAGCGGUCCGGCCGGGAACUCAAAGGAGACUGCCAGUGAUAAACUGGAGGAAGGUGGGGAUGACGUCAAGUCAUCAUGGCCCUUACGAGUAGGGCUACACACGUGCUACAAUGGCAUAUACAAAGAGAAGCGACCUCGCGAGAGCAAGCGGACCUCAUAAAGUAUGUCGUAGUCCGGAUUGGAGUCUGCAACUCGACUCCAUGAAGUCGGAAUCGCUAGUAAUCGUGGAUCAGAAUGCCACGGUGAAUACGUUCCCGGGCCUUGUACACACCGCCCGUCACACCAUGGGAGUGGGUUGCAAAAGAAGUAGGUAGCUUAACCUUCGGGAGGGCGCUUACCACUUUGUGAUUCAUGACUGGGGUGAAGUCGUAACAAGGUAACCGUAGGGGAACCUGCGGUUGGAUCACCUCCUUACCUUAAAGAAGC
RNAcentral lists this ribosomal RNA (515 nucleotides) under Citrobacter sp. wls715. RNAcentral's name for it is "bacterial SSU rRNA". It matches the Rfam family "Bacterial small subunit ribosomal RNA", at positions 1030 to 1533 of the family's 1533-position model. Lineage: Bacteria; Pseudomonadati; Pseudomonadota; Gammaproteobacteria; Enterobacterales; Enterobacteriaceae. The record is from RNAcentral.